This 497-nucleotide ribosomal RNA is filed under the name uncultured bacterium. RNAcentral's name for it is "partial 16S ribosomal RNA". It matches the Rfam family "Bacterial small subunit ribosomal RNA", at positions 28 to 507 of the family's 1533-position model. The record is from RNAcentral.
GAUGAACGCUGGCGGCGUGCCUAAUACAUGCAAGUCGAGCGAACAGAUGAGGAGCUUGCUCCUCUGACGUUAGCGGCGGACGGGUGAGUAACACGUGGAUAACCUACCUAUAAGACUGGGAUAACUUCGGGAAACCGGAGCUAAUACCGGAUAAUAUAUUGAACCGCAUGGUUCAAUAGUGAAAGACGGUUUUGCUGUCACUUAUAGAUGGAUCCGCGCCGCAUUAGCUAGUUGGUAAGGUAACGGCUUACCAAGGCAACGAUGCGUAGCCGACCUGAGAGGGUGAUCGGCCACAUUGUAACUGAGACGCGGUCCAGACUCCUACGGGAGGCAGCAGUAGGGAAUCUUCCGCAAUGGGCGAAAUCCCGACGAAGCAACGCCGCGUGAGUGAUGAAGGUCUUCGGAUCGUAAAACUCUGUUAUUAGGGAAGAACAAAUGUGUAAGUAACUAUGCACGUCUUGACGGUACCUAAUCAGAAAGCCACGGCUAACUACGUG